This 252-nucleotide ribosomal RNA is filed under the name uncultured bacterium. Its description in RNAcentral is "partial 16S ribosomal RNA". It matches the Rfam family "Bacterial small subunit ribosomal RNA", at positions 524 to 776 of the family's 1533-position model. The record is from RNAcentral.
UACGUAGAUCCCGAGCGUUGUCCGGAUUUAUUGGGCGUAAAGCGAACGCAGGUGGUUUAUUAAGUCUGGUGUAAAAGGCAGUGGCUCAACCAUUGUAUGCAUUGGAAACUGGUAGACUUGAGUGCAGGAGAGGAGAGUGGAAUUCCAUGUGUAGCGGUGAAAUGCGUAGAUAUAUGGAGGAACACCGGUGGCGAAAGCGGCUCUCUGGCCUGUAACUGACACUGAGGCUCGAAAACGUGGGGAGCAAACAGG